RNAcentral lists this ribosomal RNA (398 nucleotides) under bacterium enrichment culture clone ALO1_GLFRUDD03HACFF. RNAcentral's name for it is "bacterial SSU rRNA". It matches the Rfam family "Bacterial small subunit ribosomal RNA", at positions 9 to 406 of the family's 1533-position model. The record is from RNAcentral.
GAGUUUGAUCCUGGCUCAGAUUGAACGCUGGCGGCAUGCCUUACACAUGCAAGUCGAACGGCAGCACGGGAGCUUGCUCCUGGUGGGCGAGUGGCGAACGGGUGAGUAAUGCAUCGGAACGUAUCCUGGAGUGGGGGAUAACGUAGCGAAAGUUACGCUAAUACCGCAUAUUCUGUGAGCAGGAAAGCGGGGGACCUUCGGGCCUCGCGCUCUUGGAGCGGCCGAUGUCGGAUUAGCUAGUUGGUGAGGUAAAGGCUCACCAAGGCGACGAUCCGUAGCAGGUCUGAGAGGAUGAUCUGCCACACUGGAACUGAGACACGGUCCAGACUCCUACGGGAGGCAGCAGUGGGGAAUUUUGGACAAUGGGGGCAACCCUGAUCCAGCCAUGCCGCGUGAGU